RNAcentral lists this ribosomal RNA (174 nucleotides) under uncultured bacterium. Its description in RNAcentral is "partial 16S ribosomal RNA". It matches the Rfam family "Bacterial small subunit ribosomal RNA", at positions 164 to 334 of the family's 1533-position model. The record is from RNAcentral.
UAAUACCGUCAUACGCCCCACGGGGGAAAGGCAAGGGGGAGUCUUCGGACCUUGCACUAUUGGAUGAGCCUAUGUCAGAUUAGCUUGUUGGUGGGGUAACGGGCCUACCAAGGCGACGAUCUGUAGCUGGUCUGAGAGGACGAUCAGCCACACUGGGACUGAGACACGGCCCAG